This 301-nucleotide ribosomal RNA is filed under the name uncultured bacterium. RNAcentral's name for it is "partial 16S ribosomal RNA". It matches the Rfam family "Bacterial small subunit ribosomal RNA", at positions 509 to 808 of the family's 1533-position model. The record is from RNAcentral.
CAGUCGCCACGGGGAAUACAGAGGGUGCGAGCGUUAAUCGGAUUUACUGGGCGUAAAGCGUGCGUAGGCGGCUUCUUAAGUCGGAUGUGAAAUCCCUGAGCUUAACUUAGGAAUUGCAUUCGAUACUGGGAAGCUAGAGUAUGGGAGAGGAUGGUAGAAUUCCAGGUGUAGCGGUGAAAUGCGUAGAGAUCUGGAGGAAUACCGAUGGCGAAGGCAGCCAUCUGGCCUAAUACUGACGCUGAGGUACGAAAGCAUGGGGAGCAAACAGGAUUAGAUACCCCCGUAGUCCCUGUCUCUUAUA